GGAUUGUGGCUCAAUAGGUAGAGCGCCCGCCUAGCACACAUGAGGCACUGAGUUCGAUCCUCAGCACCA
Molecule: transfer RNA, 69 nt
Filed under: Marmota monax (woodchuck)
Lineage: Eukaryota; Metazoa; Chordata; Mammalia; Rodentia; Sciuridae
Description: tRNA.Ala
Source: RNAcentral